CGUGUAGGCUGUUGUGCAAGUCAGGCGUGGAAUCCCACGGCUCAACUGUGGAAUUGCGUUUGAAACUGCACGGCUUGAUACAGGAGAGGAGAGCGGAAUUUCCAGUGUAGCGGUGAAAUGCUCAAAUAUUGGAAGGAACACCGGUGGCGAAGGCGGCUCUCUGGCCUGAUACUGACGCUGAGGCGCGAAAGCGUAGGGGAGCGAACA
RNAcentral lists this ribosomal RNA (207 nucleotides) under uncultured bacterium. RNAcentral describes it as "partial 16S ribosomal RNA". It matches the Rfam family "Bacterial small subunit ribosomal RNA", at positions 568 to 774 of the family's 1533-position model. The record is from RNAcentral.